This 75-nucleotide transfer RNA is filed under the name Lachnospiraceae bacterium. Its description in RNAcentral is "tRNA-Glu". It matches the Rfam family "tRNA". Rfam says of the family: Transfer RNA (tRNA) molecules are approximately 80 nucleotides in length. Lineage: Bacteria; Bacillati; Bacillota; Clostridia; Lachnospirales; Lachnospiraceae. The record is from RNAcentral.
UGGCUCCCUGGUCAAGCGGUCAAGACGCUAGCCUCUCACGCUGGAAUCAGGGGUUCGAUUCCCCUGGGAGUCAUC